UCUAUACCAUUUGGGUCGCCCAAGGGUUCUUGACACUAAGCCUCACUGGAAGAGACCACAUAGUGAGUGUUGUGCUACCAAAACUGAGGUGUUUUACUGCCUGUCACUGGCUGCGGAACUUUUUUAUGGAUCUUUGGAGGUGCUUUUGGUGGUAGUCCAGAAGCAUUCUGGUUGCCCUAGAUUGCUUGUCUUAAAUCUCAGGUUGAAUUACCAGUAUUUUGGUCAGGAGCUCAAAGAGUGAAAUCUCCUUUAUGGCUCAUAGAGAAUAAGUUGGGUUUUCUAUACUUGGGUUUGGGUAGAGUGUGUAUUCCCCACAAGUUUGGGUACCCAAAUGACCCUGGUUUCGGUAGUUAUUUAGUUCAUAGAUCUGAUUAAAAAUGUCGGAUGUCAGCAGAUCGGUGGAUUAUACAUCUGAGAGCUCUGGUAAUACCAAUCCAACUACAUUUCCAAUGCAUCAGGUGAAGACAUGUUUGUAUAUAAAGGUGUACUUGUAAUUUUGAAACUUAAAUUCAAUAUAAUAGAGUUGGGAGAGGUCACUGAUUCCUCGUUCUCCCAAAUUCUCUUAUUUUCUCCUUUUCUCUCUUCUCCUUCUUCCUCUCCUGUUUUCUCUGUUCUAGUUUAACCCAUUGAAUAGUAACCUCAACUAUCACUCGGUUAAGCUAUCCCUGCUGAGCCCAGAAAACCUAUGAUACAUUGCAGGGAUUUUCAAAGCCCCAAAUAUGAUUGCCACUUUUCCAAUGUGGGAGAUUGAGAACUCAAUGGUAAUGUCAUGGCUGAUCUCCAUGAAUGAUGAAGAAGUCGAUAGCAAAGGAAAUUUGGGAUAUAGUGAUGAUCCUCUUUGAUCGUGUUGAUGAUUAUGCCAAGGUAUAUCACCUCCAUCAAUAGAUCAUAGCUACUAAACAAGGGGGCAUGUCAAUUUUCAGUGAACUACGACACCAUUAUUGGUUUUUGGGAGGUGUAUGAUCACCACCAGGACAUGUAUCUAAUCCUAAAGAAAGGAUGUGUCCCAACACUGCUUGGUGGAUUGAGCCCAAAGUACAAACCCAUAUGUGUUCCAAUUAGGGUAAAACCCCUGUUCCAUCUUUGGAUGAGGUUCGUUAGCAAGGUUUUAAGUAUCCUUCCAUAUUUGCCUAUACUUAUUGAUACUUAUUGUAUCUUUCAGGUUCCAAUACAAUAUCUAAAAAUUCAACCAUUCAACUUUCACUGAAUGCAAUGAAGAGCACUAAACACCCCCAUGUGAGUGGCCCCAAGGAGGUAAGAGGAAUUCAGAACCACACGUUUCCUAUGGGGAAGGUCUUUUGCCAACUCAGCUACACUCUUAGGGUUUAUGCUUUAAAAUUAUAUUUUGCAUAAAUCCUAAGCAUUUCCAUAUGAAUCUAGCUUAUAUUGUGUUUCUUCGAUACGAUGUCUCUUAAAAUCACCCUUUUGAUACAAUACAUGAUAUCGAUAUUCUUAAACCUUGUUUGUGGGUACCUUGAAAUUGAGGAGACAGGACAGUAUGCUAUGGAUGUCAGGUAUGGUUUCAAUGUCCCAGCAUGGUGGUCAUAUGGGAGGCUAUGGACAUAGCAUUGGACGUGGUCAUAGUUGUUCAAUGAAAGGAUCAUCUUUAGUGUGAUCAUUGUGCCUACACGAACCCAUUACAAUAGCUAAUCUGACGUGGCUAUUUCAAGUUUGAGUUCCAAUCUACCAAGCCUAGACCUCUCCUCACCCCUUCCAUGUUUACAGAAAAAAAAAAAAAAGAGGAAGAGAGGUGGGAGAAAGGAGAACCUGAUCAACAGCAUCAGCAUCUGAAGAAGAGGAAGGAUCGGCAACAUCUGAAGAAGAAGAAGAGGAAGGAUC
Molecule: long non-coding RNA, 1839 nt
Organism: Macadamia integrifolia
Lineage: Eukaryota; Viridiplantae; Streptophyta; Magnoliopsida; Proteales; Proteaceae
Exons: 2
Source: RefSeq, a predicted model, not a curated record